CUCCGGUGAUCCUGCCGGAGACCACCGCUAUUGGAAUUCGCUUAAGCCAUGCGAGUCGAGAGGGGUAAGCCCUCGGCGCACUGCUCAGUAACACGCGGACAAUCUGCCCUCGAGACGGGGAUAAUCCCGGGAAACUGGGGAUAAUACCCGAUAGGUCUGGGAUGAUGGAAGGCUCUCAGGUCGAAAUCCUGCGGGGCUCGAGGAUGGGUCUGCGGCCUAUCAGGUUGUAGGGAGGGUAACGGCCUCCCUAGCCUACGACGGGUACGGGCGUUGAGAGACGUCGCCCGGAGAUGAACUCUGAGACACGAGUUCAGGCCCUACGGGGCGCAGCAGGCGCGAAAACUGCACAAUGCUGGAAACAGCGAUGCGGGAAUUCCAAGUGCCAGCACAAAGUGUUGGCUGUUCCAUUGUCUAAAAAACAUAGGAAGUAAGGGCUGGGUAAGACGGGUGCCAGCCGCCGCGGUAAUACCUGCAGCCCGAGUGGUGGCCGUUAUUAUUGGGCCUAAAACGUCCGUAGCCUGUUUGGUAGAUGCCUGUGUAAAUCGAACGGCUUAACCGUUCGAACUGCGGGUAGACCGCCAGACUUGGGACCGGGAGAGUCACGAAGUACUCCGGGGGUAGAGGUGAAAUUCUGUAAUCCUCGGGGGACUACCGGUGGCGAAGGCGUCGUGAUAGAACGGCUCCGACGGUGAGGGACGAAGCCCUGGGGCGCAAACCGGAUUAGAUACCCGGGUAGUCCAGGGUGUAAACGCUGCGGUCUUGGUGUCGGGAGUCCUACGAGGGCACUCGGUGCCGGAGAGAAGUUGUUAAGACCGCUGCCUGGGGAGUACGGCCGCAAGGUUGAAACUUAAAGGAUUUGCCGGGGAGCA
This 869-nucleotide ribosomal RNA is filed under the name uncultured archaeon. RNAcentral's name for it is "bacterial SSU rRNA". It matches the Rfam family "Archaeal small subunit ribosomal RNA", at positions 1 to 878 of the family's 1478-position model. The record is from RNAcentral.